GGGGUCGUAGCUCAGUUUGGUUAGAGCGCUUGCCUGUCACGCAAGAAGUCGCGAGUUCGAGUCUCGUCGGCCCCG
RNAcentral lists this transfer RNA (75 nucleotides) under Bacteroidota bacterium. Its description in RNAcentral is "Bacteroidetes bacterium (microbial mat metagenome) tRNA-Asp". It matches the Rfam family "tRNA". Rfam says of the family: Transfer RNA (tRNA) molecules are approximately 80 nucleotides in length. RNAcentral also lists the same sequence under 1 other name. Lineage: Bacteria; Pseudomonadati; Bacteroidota. The record is from RNAcentral.